UCCGGGGGAAGCUCACUGCCGAGGCCACCCACGGGGUGCGCGUCACCCGCGGCCCGCCUCGGGGAAGGUCUGAGGGAAGGGCCGCCCGCGGCCCCAGCAGGGCCCCGCCCGCGACGGGCGGGUGAGCCACCAGCAAGGGGGGGCGCCGCGCGGGCCGGCCCGGGCAGGAGAAGCCGCGGCGGUUCCCGGGCGGACCCCGGCGGAUGCUCAUGGCCCCGCGGUGCUUUGAGACAGACUCACGGCCGGCGCGCUGAGUCCGAUGGGUGAGGUGGGGCACUGCCCCAUAACCCAAUUCAGACUACUCUCCCCCGGA
RNAcentral lists this RNase P RNA (313 nucleotides) under Chloebia gouldiae (Gouldian finch). RNAcentral describes it as "Erythrura gouldiae (Gouldian finch) Nuclear RNase P (ENSEGOG00005004725.1)". It matches the Rfam family "Nuclear RNase P". Rfam says of the family: Ribonuclease P (RNase P) is a ubiquitous endoribonuclease, found in archaea, bacteria and eukarya as well as chloroplasts and mitochondria. Its best characterised activity is the generation of mature 5'-ends of tRNAs by cleaving the 5'-leader elements of precursor-tRNAs. Lineage: Eukaryota; Metazoa; Chordata; Aves; Passeriformes; Passeridae. The record is from Rfam by way of RNAcentral.